RNAcentral lists this ribosomal RNA (983 nucleotides) under uncultured marine bacterium. RNAcentral's name for it is "bacterial SSU rRNA". It matches the Rfam family "Bacterial small subunit ribosomal RNA", at positions 69 to 1047 of the family's 1533-position model. The record is from RNAcentral.
GUAACAUUGGUGCUUGCACCAGAUGACGAGUGGCGCACGGGUGCGUAACGCGUAUGCAAUCUACCUUUUACUAGAGUAUAGCCCAGAGAAAUUUGGAUUAAUCCUCUAUAAUAUCUUUUAAUUUCAUGAUUUUAAGAUUAAAGUUUUAACGGUAAAAGAUGAGCAUGCGUCCUAUUAGUUUGUAGGUGAGGUAACGGCUCACCUAGACUACGAUAGGUAGGGGCCCUGAGAGGGGGAUCCCCCACACUGGUACUGAGACACGGACCAGACUCCUACGGGAGGCAGCAGUAAGGAAUAUUGGACAAUGGACGAAAGUCUGAUCCAGCCAUGCCGCGUGCAGGAUGAAAGCCCUACGGGUUGUAAACUGCUUUUAUACAGGAAGAAACACUCCGACGUGUCGGAGCUUGACGGUACUGUAAGAAUAAGGAUCGGCUAACUCCGUGCCAGCAGCCGCGGUAAUACGGAGGAUCCAAGCGUUAUCCGGAAUCAUUGGGUUUAAAGGGUCCGCAGGCUGUUUUUUAAGUCAGAGGUGAAAUCCUACAGCUCAACUGUAGAACUGCCUUUGAUACUGAAAAACUUGAGUUAUUGUGAAGUGGUUAGAAUGUGUGGUGUAGCGGUGAAAUGCAUAGAUAUCACACAGAAUACCGAUUGCGAAGGCAGAUCACUAACAAUAUACUGACGCUCAUGGACGAAAGCGUGGGGAGCGAACAGGAUUAGAUACCCUAGUAGUCCACGCCGUAAACGAUGGAUACUAGCUGUUCGUCUAACAUUGGUUAGAUGAGUGGCUAAGCGAAAGUGAUAAGUAUCCCACCUGGGGAGUACGGUCGCAAGACUGAAACUCAAAGGAAUUGACGGGGGCCCGCACAAGCGGUGGAGCAUGUGGUUUAAUUCGAUGAUACGCGAGGAACCUUACCAGGGCUUAAAUGUAGUGGGACAGGUCUAGAGAUAGACCCUUCUUCGGACUCAUUACAAGGUGCUGCAUG